This 767-nucleotide long non-coding RNA is filed under the name Ananas comosus (pineapple). RNAcentral's name for it is "long non-coding RNA (ACOM_LNC008845)". Lineage: Eukaryota; Viridiplantae; Streptophyta; Magnoliopsida; Poales; Bromeliaceae. The record is from RNAcentral.
AAUAAUAUUAUCUUUCCUCUUUUUAUCGUAAUCUCUCUCUGUAUCGCUAUCGUCUCCUUCUAUCUAUUUGUUCUCUCCUCUUUUUUGUAUCGUCCCCCGUAUUGAUUUUUAUUCUCAUAUUUAUAGUAGAAGGGGCGGCAAGAGAUAUUUUGAGGAGUCGGUUAGGGAUUCGAAAUUCGAAAUCAAAUUUUGAAUCGGUUGUUUGAUGGAUAGGUAUUCAAAAUUCGAAUGGAUGUGGUUGGUUGGAAGAUAUUUUGGGAGUUGGUUGGGGAUUCGAAAUUCAAAAUCGGUUGUUGUGGUUGAUUGGAAGAUAUUUUGGGGGUUCGGUGGGGAUUCGAAAUUCAAAAUCGAAUUUUGAAUCGAUUGUUGGAUGGAUAGGUAUUCAAAAUUCGAAUGGAUAUGGUUGGUUGGGAGAUAUUUUGGGAGUUGGUUGGGGAUUCGAAAUUCGAAAUCGAUUGUUGUGGUUGGUUGGAAGAUAUUUUGGGGGUUGGUUGGCGAUUCGAAAUUCGAAAUCGAUUUUUGAAUCGGUUGUUGGAUGGAUAGGUAUUCAAAAUUCGAAUGGAUGUGGUUGGUUGGUAGAUUUUUUGGGGUUGUUUGCGGUUAGUUGUGAGAUAUUUUGGGAGUUGGUUGUGGUUUGUUGAGAGAUAUUUUGGGAGUUGGUUUAGAAUUUGAAAUCGAAUUUCGAAUGGGGUUGUUAGGAUAAUAGAUAUUUUCUAGGGUGUGGAUAUAGGCCGUCAUUGAUUGGGCCUACUUUAAUGAAAUAUGUU